GGUCUCGUGGCCGAGUGGCUAGGCAGCGGUCUGCAAAACCGUCUACAGCGGUUCGAAUCCGCUCGAGACCUCCA
This 74-nucleotide transfer RNA is filed under the name Flavobacteriales bacterium. RNAcentral's name for it is "tRNA-Cys". It matches the Rfam family "tRNA". Rfam says of the family: Transfer RNA (tRNA) molecules are approximately 80 nucleotides in length. Their secondary structure includes four short double-helical elements and three loops (D, anti-codon, and T loops). Lineage: Bacteria; Pseudomonadati; Bacteroidota; Flavobacteriia; Flavobacteriales. The record is from RNAcentral.